Mauremys mutica (yellowpond turtle) is the source of this 797-nucleotide non-coding RNA. NCBI's taxonomy places the organism in Eukaryota, Metazoa, Chordata, Testudines, Geoemydidae. The record is from the annotation of a RefSeq genome assembly.
CUAGAGCAGUACUUCGGAGAUGGGACCAGGCUCAUGGUGUUGGAGGUUGGGCUCAAUAUCACCUCCCCCAAAGUGGCCAUCUUUCCCCCGUCAAAGCAGGAGAUCAAAGAGAAGGGGAAAGCCACUCUGGUGUGCCUGGCCAGAGAUUUCUACCCCGACCACAUCAAGCUGGUCUGGCAGGUGAAUGAUGCUGACAGGGAAGACGGGGUGAGGACAGAUGAGUUUUCCACUUGGGAUAACACAUCAAAAUCAUACUCGCUGACCAGCCGCCUGAGGAUCUCAACCCAAGAGUGGUUCAACUCCAAGAACAGUUUCCGGUGUGCUGUGAAGUUCCACCUGGAUGAGAUCCAGUAUGAAGUGAUCAGAGGUGGAGAUGGGUGUGGCAUCACUGAAGAAUCCUACAUGCGAUCUGGCAACUCUACAAAGCUCACCUACCUGGUGCUCUUGUGGAAAGCCAUGCUCUAUGCCUUGCUGGCGAGCGCUCUGGUGUGGCGAGUCAAGGCUGGUGACAAGCUGAGCAGAGAAUAAAUUGGAACUCGUCUCCAGCACCUCAGGAGGAGCACAGCUAAAUUUAUCUACUGCUCCGAAUCCUCCAGGGAGAAGGAUUUUGCUUCUGCCUGCACUCUGCCGAUAUUCCAUUCUGUGGAGGGAUUUGAUGGGUAGAGUAGUUCCUCUCUAUCCAGCUCUUUCAGUAGUCACUGAUGGCUCCCCUUGCCCCCAGAGCUUUAAAAGCUAGAUAACUACCCAUAGUGAGGGACUGAGGGGGCUGCCCCCUGAAGCCAUAAUAAAGUCUUGGU